This 467-nucleotide ribosomal RNA is filed under the name uncultured bacterium. RNAcentral describes it as "partial 16S ribosomal RNA". It matches the Rfam family "Bacterial small subunit ribosomal RNA", at positions 28 to 506 of the family's 1533-position model. The record is from RNAcentral.
GACGAACGCUGGCGGCGUGCUUAACACAUGCAAGUCGAACGGAAAGGCCCUGCUUUUGUGGGGUGCUCGAGUGGCGAACGGGUGAGUAACACGUGAGUAACCUGCCCUUGACUUUGGGAUAACUUCAGGAAACUGGGGCUAAUACCGGAUAGGACCUCCUGCUGCAUGGUGGGGGUUGGAAAGUUUCGGCGGUUGGGGAUGGACUCGCGGCUUAUCAGCUUGUUGGUGGGGUAGUGGCUUACCAAGGCUUUGACGGGUAGCCGGCCUGAGAGGGUGACCGGCAACAUUGGGACUGAGACACGGCCCAGACUCCUUCGGAAGGAAGCAGUGGGGAAUAUUGCACAAGGGACGGAGGCGUGAUGCAGCAACUCGGCGUGCGGGAAGACGGCCUUCGGGUAGUAAGCCACUUUCGCCUGUAACGACGCGUGAGCGACGGUAAUGGGAAAAGAGGCACCGGCGAACUACGU